Molecule: ribosomal RNA, 783 nt
Filed under: uncultured Neocallimastigales
Lineage: Eukaryota; Fungi; Neocallimastigomycota; Neocallimastigomycetes; Neocallimastigales
Description: partial large subunit ribosomal RNA
Rfam family: Eukaryotic large subunit ribosomal RNA
Source: RNAcentral
ACACGCAUGACACACUGCAUAUCAAUAAGCGGAGGAAAAGAAACUAACUAAGGAUUCCCCUUAGUAACGGCGAGUGAAGCGGGAAGAGCUCAAAUUUGUAAAUCUUAAAGGGUUUCCCUUUACGAAUUGUAGUUUAAAGAAGUGUUUUCUGUUGGAGUUUCGGUAAAAGUUCUUUGGAAUAGGACAUCAUAGAGGGUGAGAAUCCCGUAUUUGACCAGUUACUUUCCAGCUGUGUGAUACACUUUCAAAGAGUCGGAUUGUUUGGGAAUGCAGUCCAAGAUGGGUGGUAAAUUUCAUCUAAAGCUAAAUACUGGCGAGAGACCGAUAGCGAACAAGUACCGUGAGGGAAAGAUGAAAAGAACUUUGAAAAGAGAGUUAAACAGUACGUGAAAUUGUCAAAAGGGAAGCGUUUGACACCAGUGUUGUUUUUCCGAGAAUCAAUUACGAAUGUUUUAUUUUUGAGGAGUUAUGACUUUCAUCGGCUUGCUCCUUUCUUUACUGAAACUUUCUUAAUGCACUUUUCGGUUAACAAGUCAACAUCAAUUUCUUUUGUUGUAAAAGGGUAUGAGGAAGGUGGCUUUCUUUUCGGAGAAAGUGUUUAUAGCCUUGUGCCUCUGCAAUCGGAGAGAUUGAGGGUCUGCAGCGUAGAUCCUUCGGGGUUAGAUACGUUUGUGCUAAGUUAUAGCUUUUCAUAGACAACUUGUUAACUAUGAUUCAGUCAUGUAGCUUACUCGCUGAUGUCAUUUUACCUACGCUUAGGAUGUUGAUAGUCACAGCGUGUAC